RNAcentral lists this ribosomal RNA (572 nucleotides) under uncultured haloarchaeon. RNAcentral's name for it is "bacterial SSU rRNA". It matches the Rfam family "Archaeal small subunit ribosomal RNA", at positions 8 to 581 of the family's 1478-position model. Lineage: Archaea; Methanobacteriati; Methanobacteriota; Halobacteria; Halobacteriales; Halobacteriaceae. The record is from RNAcentral.
UUGAUCCUGCCGGAAGCCAUUGCUAUCAGGGUCCGAUUUAGCCAUGCUAGUCGCACGAGUUCACACUCGUGGCAUAUAGCUCCGUAACACGUGGCCAAACUACCCUUCGGAGACGCAUAACCUCGGGAAACUGAGGCUAAUACGUCACACGGCUUUCAGCCUGGAAUGGCGAAAGCCCGAAACGCUCCGGCGCCGAAGGAUGUGGCUGCGGCCGAUUAGGUAGACGGCGGGGUAACGGCCCACCGUGCCGAUAAUCGGUACGGGUUGUGAGAGCAAGAACCCGGAGACGGAAUCUGAGACAAGAUUCCGGGCCCUACGGGGCGCAGCAGGCGCGAAACCUUUACACUGCACGCCAGUGCGAUAAGGGGACCCUGAGUGCACAGGCAUAGUGCCUGUGCUUUUCUCGACCGUAGGGAGGUCGAGGAACAAGAGCUGGGCAAGACCGGUGCCAGCCGCCGCGGUAAUACCGGCAGCUCGAGUGAUGGCCGAUCUUAUUGGGCCUAAAGCGUCCGUAGCUAGCCAGGCAAGUCCGUCGGGAAAUCCACGUGCUCAACGCGUGGGCGCCCGGCGGA